ACCACUGGGUUAACAUACCAUUUUCCUCAGUCUCUCUCUCCCUCCCUGUUUCUGUCUCUCCCUGUCUCUGUCUCUUUCUCCCCAUGUCUGUCUGUCUCUCUCUCCUUGUGUCUGUAUCUCUCCAUGUCUCCUCCUACCUCCCAAUGUGUGUGUGUGCGUGUCUCUCUCUCUCUCUCUCUUCCUGUAUCUCUACCUCCCCAUGUCUGUCUCUCUUGGUCACUGUGUCUGUCUCUCCAUAUCUCCUCCCUCCCCAUGUCACUCCUCUUUCUUCCUCUCUAUGUUCGUCUCUCUCUCUCUCUGUAUGUCUGUCUGUCUGUCUCUCUCCCUGUGUCUGUCUCCACGUCUCUGUAUAUCUCUCCCUGUGUGUCUCUCUCUCCAUGUCUGCUCCCUCCCCAUGUGUGUGUGUUUCACUCUCUCUCCCUCCCCAUGUCUGUCUCUUUCUCCAUGUCUUAUCCCUCCUUGUGUCUGUCUCUCUUUCCCUGUGUCUGUGUCUCUCCAUGUAAGUCUCUAUCCCACCUCAUGUCUGUCUCUCUCUCCCCACGUCUGUUUCUCUUUCCAUGUUUGUGUCUCUUUGUCCCUGUCUCUUUCUCCCACCCAAGUUACUCUCUUUCCAGAACUGUCUCUCUUUCAACAUGUCUGUGUCUCACUCCCUCUUUCUCCCCCCCCCCCAUGUCCCCCUCACUCCCCAUGUCUCCUUGGUUCUGUGUUUAUAUAUCACACACACACACACACACACACACACACACACACACACACACACACACACACACACGGGUUGGAGGUUUCUAUAUAUGUGCACUCUCUUCUAUUUCUAUCUCUCUCCCUCUCUCUCAUAUCUGGAACCCCUCCCCCCUAAAAAUCCUGCAUUUGCCCCUGGACUGUCACAAAGAGAACUCGGACAGACAGCUCCAGUGAUGAGGAGGGCACAGCUGCGGGCAGCCAGAAAACAAAGAGCCUUACGUACACCUGGUGCGGAGGUGCAGCCCUGCCCCACCCCCAACCCGAUCGCAGGCCGCGCCCAUGUUCCCCUGGACUACGCGGAGAACACCAGAGGAGCGGAACCCAUAACUUCUACUGAGGCUAUCUGUCCGUCCUGUGUGAGCUUGCAUGGAAGGAGCAACGGUGGCUGGGACCCGGGAGCUGCAUUAGAGGAGCAUUUUGUUUGUGUGCCUCACAGAGCCCUAUGCACAUAGGUUCAUGAGAAGGAGGAGGAGGAGUCAGUGUAGGAGGAGGAAGUGGGCUCUUCAGAAGUAGAUAUCCAACACUACAUUAGAGCAUGAAACCCCAUAAUGACAAAUAGAACUACAGUAACAGCAACAAGAAAAACAAUGCCCCCAUGUCUUCAUUCCAGGAAUAGGUCAGUUUGCUUGUCAGACAUAAAGCAACUUGUGUUACUAAACCAUCAUGUGACAGACAAGGAGAAUGGAGAAUGUAAACGGCAAUCCAGAAAUUCCAAUUAAACAUGCUCUUAAAACAUUGUAAUUAUUACUAUACAUAUUAUCACAGAAAUACUUUUGCAAUAGAUAACUAAUAACCUUCAUUACAUACAGUGGCUACUGAGCUGCUCUCAUAUCUCAUUGUGUGUUUGUUGUCAUUGACUGUUAUUUAAUUGACUCUUUUAGGAAGCGUUCCUCUAUGGAAAGCUUCCUAAAAGAGCCAUAUGUAGGGUCACCACCUGGUAUUUUCCCAGCAUGCCCAGUACAAGAAGCGGCUUGAUGCCAGUGUUAUUAAUAUGGCACAACAAAUCAGUUAUUGAAGGGCUGUUAGUAAUCCAACAGCGAGACAAACAGGUAAGCAUUAAGGUGACCUAUGAUAAAACACUGUACCUGUAUGUAUGUAUGUAUAUGUAUAUAUAUAUAUAUAUAUAUAUAUAUAUAUAUAUGUACAGUAUGAACUAUU
Molecule: long non-coding RNA, 1899 nt
Organism: Pseudophryne corroboree (corroboree frog)
Lineage: Eukaryota; Metazoa; Chordata; Amphibia; Anura; Myobatrachidae
Exons: 4
Source: RefSeq, a predicted model, not a curated record